Molecule: ribosomal RNA, 492 nt
Filed under: uncultured bacterium
Lineage: Bacteria
Description: partial 16S ribosomal RNA
Rfam family: Bacterial small subunit ribosomal RNA
Source: RNAcentral
AGUGAACGCUGGCGGUAGGCCUAACACAUGCAAGUCGAACGGCAGCACAGUAAGAGCUUGCUCUUACGGGUGGCGAGUGGCGGACGGGUGAGGAAUACAUCGGAAUCUACUUUUUCGUGGGGGAUAACGUAGGGAAACUUACGCUAAUACCGCAUACGACCUACGGGUGAAAGCAGGGGAUCUUCGGACCUUGCGCGAUUGAAUGAGCCGAUGUCGGAUUAGCUAGUUGGCGGGGUAAAGGCCCACCAAGGCGACGAUCCGUAGCUGGUCUGAGAGGAUGAUCAGCCACACUGGAACUGAGACACGGUCCAGACUCCUACGGGAGGCAGCAGUGAGGAAUAUUGGACAAUGGGCGCAAGCCUGAUCCAGCCAUACCGCGUGGGUGAAGAAGGCCUUCGGGUUGUAAAGCCCCUUUGUUGGGAAAGAAAAGCAGCAGGUUAAUACCCCGCUGUUCUGACGGUACCCAAAGAAUAAGCACCGGCUAACUUCGUG